CAACCAGGGUUCCACCAAGAACCCCUGUCUCAAAAAACAAAACCAAACAAUACAAAAAAGGAAGAGAGCCAAAGGGAGGGGCACAACCAUCUCUCUUUAGUAUGACUUUCCUCAUUGUUUACAGAAUGAAGAAAAUGGGGCCAGAAAGCAAAGCCAAAGCUGUCAGUUCCCAGAGGACCCCAGGCUAGUCCUCAGAGCAGACACCUGUGGAGAGACUGACAGAGUCAUCAUUCCUUGCAUAUCUGAAAAUCCCAGCCAGUGGAAGUCUGGGGGUUCCAUGUUCUGCUGUGAUAACAUCUCUUCAACUCCUCCACUGAUAGCCUUCUCUGAUGGAGUAGACAUCAGAAAGAGCACAAUCAGCAAUUUCCUACCUCACCUGUGCAGCCAGUGGUCAGGACCUCAGACCAAGCAAAACACCUAACUCAGGCCCUGAGCCUCUUAGGACCUUGUGCCCUGUGUGUAUCUUCCUGGAAACUCUCCCGAGCUGUCUGGUGCCUAGAACAGACUAGGAUCUACAGAGCUGUCUGAGAAGGAUCCCAAACCUAGUGCAGAGGCACAGGGUGCUCUCCCUUCACAUUGCUCUCCAAACCUCUAGUCUGCUCGUGUGGUUGAACAGAAAUCCAUGGACCUCCAGGACUGACUGAUACUAAAGGUAUCCCCGGGGGACCACAUUCCAGAACAAUACCCUGGCAACAAAAUGGUUCCAACUGACCCACAUGAUAUUUUUUUUCCUGGGUUCCUGAGAUCAACCUCUGGAACAGUGCAAACAGGUUGAUUUAAGUUUUCUCUCUAUCUCUCUCUUUCUCUCUUUCUUUCUCUCUCUCUCUCUCUGGGUUUUUCUGUUUGUUGAUUGAUUCGUUGGUUUUUGGGUUUUUGAGACAAGGUUAUUUGUGUGGCCUUGGCUGUCCUAGACCUGGCUCUGUAGACCAGGCUGGCUUCAAACCCACACAGAUCCAUCUGCCUCUGCCACUGCCUCUGCCUCUGCCUCUGCCUCUGCCUCUGCCUCUGCCUCU
RNAcentral lists this long non-coding RNA (1013 nucleotides) under Mus spicilegus (steppe mouse). RNAcentral describes it as "lncRNA (ENSMSIG00000025909.1)". The record is from RNAcentral. Lineage: Eukaryota; Metazoa; Chordata; Mammalia; Rodentia; Muridae.